This 67-nucleotide transfer RNA is filed under the name Marmota monax (woodchuck). Its description in RNAcentral is "tRNA.Val". The record is from RNAcentral. Lineage: Eukaryota; Metazoa; Chordata; Mammalia; Rodentia; Sciuridae.
GGUUGUGACUCAGUGGUAGAGUGCUUGCCUAACAUGGGUGUGGCACUGGGUUUGAUCCUCAGCACCA